RNAcentral lists this small nuclear RNA (194 nucleotides) under Gossypium hirsutum (cotton). RNAcentral's name for it is "U2 spliceosomal RNA". It matches the Rfam family "U2 spliceosomal RNA". From Rfam's summary of the family: U2 is a small nuclear RNA (snRNA) component of the spliceosome (involved in pre-mRNA splicing). Complementary binding between U2 snRNA (in an area lying towards the 5' end but 3' to hairpin I) and the branchpoint sequence (BPS) of the intron results the bulging out of an unpaired adenosine, on the BPS, which initiates a nucleophilic attack at the intronic 5' splice site, thus starting the first of two transesterification reactions that mediate splicing. The record is from Rfam by way of RNAcentral. Lineage: Eukaryota; Viridiplantae; Streptophyta; Magnoliopsida; Malvales; Malvaceae.
AUACCUUUCUCGGUCCUUUGGCUAAGAUCAAGUGUAGUAUCUGUUCUUAUCAGUUUAUUAUCUGAUAUGUGGAUCAUCCACAUGAUAUUAAAUCAAUAUUUUUAGGGGUAGAGCUCAUUGAAAAUAGCUUGCUAUUGGGGGUCCUCGAGUGUCGUCUUUGUUUUGCACUACUGCAUUGUUUUGGCACACCCCUC